CCCCCUCUCUCUCUCUCUUUCUCCUAGCUCGUAGCGUAUCGCAGCUUCGAAGGCCAUCGCCCUCCUGCCUCUGGAACCCUAACCCUAGCCGGGAGAACUAACGAAAUCCUAGCCCUAGAUUGAAGGAACCCCGAUUCGAUCGCCAUUCACGGAGAGAUCUCCGCCCAUCCGAAGUUGACAUCCUAGGGGUGGACUUGAGCAGGGAAGUAUCUGCUAGCAGGACAUCACCUGUCAUAUAAUGCAUCCAUAAUUUGUGGAAAAUUUGUGUUUAUAAGGUUUGUUUGGUGGAGGCUGGACUCUCUAUGCCUGGAAUGAAUUUACUGAAGAGGUCCACUACUUUGUUAAGGAAGACAACGCAUCCCAGCAUCAUCCAUCUGAAAUUGGAAAUGGAAGUUGGCCGAAUUUCAAUAGUAAUUCACGGGCUGGAAUUCAAAGCCAGAGUGUAAUACCUCUGAAUGUUAAUUCAAGAAAUUCCACUGUUCAGUCUAUAGAUAAAUCCAAUUCCAGAUUUUGGUAACAGUCAACCUGGAAACCAACAGUUAGAUUUGAAAGGAUUUAUGCAUGGUUCUCAAGAUAUUCAAACAAGGCCCAACCAGGCAGAGUUUGUAGAGGAUAAUUCUUUUUCUGAUAGGCACAAUACUGCAUUUAGAGGCGUAGCUACUUUUAGUGCACAGCAGGGUAAUGCUCCUCUACACAGUUCGGGUCUUAUAAGAAAUUCAGAAACACCAGAGGUUGCCCAGGCUCCUGUUAAUUUUGACUUUUGUAAUAGUCAACAGCAGCUCAUUAGGAGCCGCCACCUUGGAACAUCACAACCUCAUCUAAGGCAGCAGCUGGGUUUUAACAACAUGCAGUUAUGGCAACAGCAAUUGAUGUACAAGCAGCUACAAGAGCUUCAGAGACAGCAGCAACUUCAGCAGCUGGAUCAAGGGGAAAGGCAGCAGAAUCCACUUAGCCAGUUAUCUGCUGCUGCG
This is a non-coding RNA of Phoenix dactylifera (date palm), 971 nucleotides long. The record is from RefSeq and is a predicted model, not a curated record. NCBI's taxonomy places the organism in Eukaryota, Viridiplantae, Streptophyta, Magnoliopsida, Arecales, Arecaceae.